This is a long non-coding RNA of Thamnophis elegans (Western terrestrial garter snake), 1818 nucleotides long. RefSeq lists it as uncharacterized. The transcript has 2 exons. NCBI's taxonomy places the organism in Eukaryota, Metazoa, Chordata, Lepidosauria, Squamata, Natricidae. The record is from RefSeq and is a predicted model, not a curated record.
CGUUUCAACACUACGUUCUCCAACGCCCAGACAUGCCGAUUCCCGGCCUUCCACUUCGCCACCUGAUCUUCGCCGUGCCACCAAGGGUGCGCGCCGACUGCGAAGCAAGGCUGCAGCGUUGGGUAGCCAGGCCUUUGGGCCGGCUUCCAAAUGAGGAACGCAGCCCGGGGGGAACCCACAAUCACAUAUCCGCAAUUGCCAAGUUCUCCUGCUCAGCUGCUCCCGUCCUUUUUCCCCUCCCCUGGAGCCAAAUUGUCCCUGCACCAAAAGACGGAUGAAGAGAUCGGCGGCUGUCGGAGCUUCGGCAAGUUAACCGGCGCGUCUAGCUAGGACAGUCUUGUGUCAUGCCGGUGGCCAGGAGUGGUGGGAACUGAAAACCGACAUUCCUGAACUCUGGGUACACCCGUCUUUGCCCACCACCAGAUGCUUGCUAGGGAUAAAAAGCAGAAAAUGUCUCUUGGCUUCAGCUAUGCUUCCAGAGGUAUUUGGCGGGCAGAUUUGAGAGGAACAACAAGAGUGGAGAUGUUGUUGCAAAGGACCUAAUAUUUAAUUUCUUAUUAUUAUGCCAGGCUGUUUGGCAAGUUCGGUGGGUAGGACUUCAAAGAGGGCAGAGACGAAAUGAUGUUUCUACUAAAGAUAAGCCCAACCUCCCACCUUGUCCAGGUAUGCAUGACCAACCUUUGCACAAAUGCUCAAAUGCACAACACAGCAUAAAGCAAGAUCCCCCAAAUUAGCUAUUUCCCAUGAUGUCCCAUGGAACUUCUCCCUUGGGCCUUCUCACCAACAUGAAGCAAGAUCUCCAAAGUUAAUUAUAUCCCAUGAUGUCCCAUGGACCUUCUCCCUUGGACCUUCUCCUUUGGAUCUUCUCACCAGCGUAAAGCAAAAUCCCCAAAUCUAAUUAUAUUCCAUGAUGUCCCAUGGAACUUCUCCCUUGGGCCUUCUCACCAACAUGAAGCAAGAUCUCCAAAGUUAAUUAUAUCCCAUGAUGUCCCAUGGACCUUCUCUCUUGGACCUUCUCCUCUGGAUCUUCUCACCAGCGUAAAGCAAAAUCCCCAAAGCUAAUUAUAUUCCAUGAUGUCCCAUGGAACUUCUCCCUUGGGCCUUCUCACCAACAUGAAGCAAAAUCUCCAAAGUUAAUUAUAUCCCAUGAUGUCCCAUGGACCUUCUCCCUUGGGCCCUCUCCUCUGGAUCUUCUCACCAGCAUAAAGAAAAAUCCCCAAAGCUAAUUAUACCCCAUGAUGUCCCAUGGACCUCCUCUCUUGCACCUUCUCACCAAUAUGAAGCAAGAUCUCCAAAGUUAAUUAUAUCCCAUGAUGUCCCAUGGACCUUCUCCCUUGGACCUUCUACUUUGGACUUUCUCACUUUCUCCCACAGGAAAGUCAUUCUCCUAUGAUCUUCCAGAUCAAUACCCUAGGAUUCAGAGGGAGCUUUGCAACAUCUCAUCCAACCCUCCAGCAUUUGCACAAAACAAAUUGCCAUGCAUUAAGCAAUAGAGUCGAGGCCAUGGCUACCCCACGUGGCCUCAGUUUUUCCAGACAACAUCUGCGGAUUGGGUUGAUCGUGUUCCUCGGGGGUUCUCCACAGAACACGGACAGAAGCCAACGGCGGAAGCUUCCCAUCUUGACUCUCUAAAGCCAAAGGAGACUCCUUGCUCCUUGUCUCUUCUUAAUCCCCCGCAGAACAAUUUACCUUUUCGGAACAAAUCCAAGAUGUUAAUUAAGAUAAAUCUACCUCAAUUUUUAGAUUCUCUUAUCCGGCAAUUUAUCAAAAUUAUGUUAAUUAUUUCUGUAGGGCAGCAAAAUUAUUACCUCUUCCGUG